GCCAGCGUAGCUCAGUGGUAGAGCAACGGUUUUGUAAACCGUAGGUCGUGGGUUCAAAUCCCUCCGCUGGCU
This 72-nucleotide transfer RNA is filed under the name Pseudomonadota bacterium. RNAcentral describes it as "tRNA-Thr". It matches the Rfam family "tRNA". Rfam says of the family: Transfer RNA (tRNA) molecules are approximately 80 nucleotides in length. The record is from RNAcentral. RNAcentral also lists the same sequence under 4 other names. Lineage: Bacteria; Pseudomonadati; Pseudomonadota.